GAUGAACGCUAGCGGGAGGCUUAACACAUGCAAGUCGAAGGGCAGCAUAAGGUAGCAAUACUUUGAUGGCGACCGGCGCACGGGUGAGUAACGCGUAUGUAACCUGUCCUUAACAGGAGGAUAACCCGGAGAAAUUCGGACUAAUACUGCAUAAAAUUAUAAAUAGGCAUCUAUUAAUAAUUAAAGCUACGGCGGUUAGGGAGGGGCAUGCGUAACAUUAGCUGGUUGGUAGGGUAACGGCCUACCAAGGCAAUGAUGUUUAGGGGACCUGAGAGGGUGACCCCCCACACUGGUACUGAGACACGGACCAGACUCCUACGGGAGGCAGCAGUGAGGAAUAUUGGUCAAUGGGCGGCAGCCUGAACCAGCCAUCCCGCGUGAAGGAAGAAUGCGCUAUGCGUUGUAAACUUCUUUUCAGGGGGAUAAAAUUCUGUAUGUAUACAGGACUGAAGGUACCCUGAGAAUAAGCAUCGGCUAACUCCGUGCCAGCAGCCGCGGUAAUCUGU
This 506-nucleotide ribosomal RNA is filed under the name uncultured bacterium. RNAcentral describes it as "bacterial SSU rRNA". It matches the Rfam family "Bacterial small subunit ribosomal RNA", at positions 28 to 528 of the family's 1533-position model. The record is from RNAcentral.